Molecule: long non-coding RNA, 305 nt
Organism: Cydia amplana
Lineage: Eukaryota; Metazoa; Arthropoda; Insecta; Lepidoptera; Tortricidae
Exons: 2
Source: RefSeq, a predicted model, not a curated record
ACGUAUUAAAAAAAAACUACUUACUAGAUCUCGUUCAAACCAAUUUUCGGUGGAAUUUUACACGGUAAUGUACAUCAUAUAUUUUUUUUAGUUUUAUCAUUCUGUUAUUUUAGAAGUUACAGGGGGGGGGGACACAUUUUACCACUUUGGAAGUGUCUCUCGCGCAAACUAAUCAUUUAGAAAAAAAUGAUAUUAGAAACCUCAAUAUCAUUUUUGAAGACCUAUCCAUAGAUACCCCACACGUAUGGGUUUGAUGAAAAAAAAUUUUUUGAGUUUCAGUUCUAAGUAUGGGGAACCCCAAAAAU